GAUGAACGCUAGCGGCAGGCCUAACACAUGCAAGUCGAGGGGUAACUAGAGUGAUAGCAAUAUUACUUUGGCUAGACCGGCGCACGGGUGCGUAACACGUAUGCAACCUACCUUAUACUGGGGAAUAACUUCGAGAAAUCGGCGCUAAUACCCCAUAACACUGCGGAGAGGCAUCUCUUUGCAGUUAAAGCUCCGGCGGUAUAAGAUGGGCAUGCGUCCAAUUAGCUAGUUGGUGAGGUAACGGCUCCGCAAUGCUACGAUUGGUAGGGGUUCUAAGAGGAUGAUCCCCCACACUGGUACGGAGACACGGACCAGACUCCUACGGGAGGCAGCAGUGAGGAAUAUUGCGCAAUGGACGAAAGUCUGACGCAGCCAUGCCGCGUGCAGGAUGACGGCCCUAUGGGUUGUAAACUGCUUUUGUACGGGAAUAAACCCUUCUACGUGUAGGAGGCUGAAGGUACCGUAAGAAUAAGCACCGGCUAACUCCGUGCCAGCCGCCGCCGUAA
This 506-nucleotide ribosomal RNA is filed under the name uncultured bacterium. RNAcentral's name for it is "partial 16S ribosomal RNA". It matches the Rfam family "Bacterial small subunit ribosomal RNA", at positions 28 to 523 of the family's 1533-position model. The record is from RNAcentral.